CUUUAUUUCUUUUAUUGAUUUAAAAGAAAACAAAAUGAAAUUUCCUAAGAAACCUAAUAGGAGCACAAAGAUGGCAGCCUGUUGCCAUGGAAACCUGUUGAGAUGAUCACAUCCCAUGAUCACAUUACAGGGGGGGCACUGAUGGGGUGCUGCAGUUACUAUUGAGGUUACACUGCUGGAAUCAGGGUUAUAACCCAGUCAUUAUAACAGCCGUCUCCAAACUGUGGACCUCCGGAUGUUUCUGGACUACAACUCCCAGCAUGCCCAGACAGCUGGCAGAUUUACCGUGGACCAAUUUAAGUCAGUGGUAUCAAAAUCCGCCACGUUAGUUAAGUGUGAACCUACCCUUACUAUGUAUCAGGGUUGUCCAUAAAAAAAAACUCCACAAUGUAUAUUAUUUGCUUGUGUUGUUACAACAGAGAGUCCUGUGUCUGCAAGACAAGCAAUACAUGUGUAUGGAGAAGGGAGGGGGUGCUCCGCCCACCAGUUCCUAGAGAAGGGCAAAUUACAGAUGGAGCCUGCAGAGCAGAUAUGUGAUCAUGCCCUAUAGAAGUUAUAUAAUGGCCAGAAAUAGGAAUAUAGCUGAUAAACUUCAUCUCACUUUAGUAUUAAUAAGGCCCCAUUCACACUGCAUUUUGGAUUUCCGCCCUAAAAUAAGCAGCUUUUCUUUCUAUAGUAUGAUUGAUUUUUUUUUUUUCAGAAGCACCGGCCGUCACCAGUUUGUAUACCCCCGCGUCUAUUCCAUCUCGCUCCCCUGCAUAUGUACCUGACUGUAUGAAUUUAAAAUAAAGAAGCCCCUGAUCUACGUACCCGGAGUUCUGGUGGGAUGUCAGAAGAUAGGAUCAGGGGGAAUUGUGAGCCGAGGUCGUCAUCAGACACCCAAAUGAGGAGGCGCUGUACAGGACACUGGAUGUCCAGUUGGGUUUUGGAUCUGAUACUCAUCCAUGGAUCCAUAAUGCCAAGGCACUUGGAUUAGAUCGGCCCACCAAGGCACCUACCAGUGGUCCCUGUUCUGAUACAAUAACAAUUCCCAACAAGAAAUAAUAGUCACUGUUGUUAAUGUAAUGUCUGG
Molecule: long non-coding RNA, 1072 nt
Organism: Hyla sarda
Lineage: Eukaryota; Metazoa; Chordata; Amphibia; Anura; Hylidae
Exons: 3
Source: RefSeq, a predicted model, not a curated record